AACGAACGCUGGCGGCGUGCUUAACACAUGCAAGUCGAACGCGAAAGGGACUUCGGUCCUGAGUAAAGUGGCGCACGGGUGAGUAACGCGUAGAUAACCUGUCUUCAUGUCUGGAAUAAUACGCCGAAAGGGGUACUAAUACCGGAUAUUCUUUGCUUUUCAUAAGUUAUGCAAGCAAAGGUGGCCUCUGCAUAUGCUACUGCAUGAAGAGGGGUCUGCGUACCAUUAGCUAGUAGGUGGGGUAAUGGCCUACCUAGGCGACGAUGGUUAGCGGGUCUGAGAGGAUGAUCCGCCACACUGGCACUGGAACACGGGCCAGACUCCUACGGGAGGCAGCAGUGAGGAAUAUUGCGCAAUGGGGGAAACCCUGACGCAGCGACGCCGCGUGAGUGAGGAAAGGCCUUCGGGUCGUAAAGCUCUGUCAAGAGGAAAGAAGUGUACAAUGGCUAAUACCUGUUGUAUUUGACGGUACCUCUAAAGGAAGCACCGGCUAACUCCGUGCCAGCAGCAGC
RNAcentral lists this ribosomal RNA (512 nucleotides) under uncultured bacterium. RNAcentral's name for it is "bacterial SSU rRNA". It matches the Rfam family "Bacterial small subunit ribosomal RNA", at positions 29 to 518 of the family's 1533-position model. The record is from RNAcentral.